AUGGCAGCGAAGGCAAGAUCAUUCAAUCAGAUAAACAUCAAUGCAACCAGUUCCUCCAAAUUCAGUCUCAAGCUCCAUCUUCCUCCAAGAAGCACUUCACUUCAUGCCAAGAAAUCCACGCCCAGCCUCGUACGGUGCACUCCGACGAGCACCAGCACCGUGUUCAAGGACAAGGAUCCCUUCAGCCUCGAGCGAUACACGUCCAAGGCAAUGACCGUGAAUGAAGCGCUCGACCUCGCUCUGCCGCUUGGGCACCCCGAGCGCCUCUUCGAGUCCAUGGGCUACUCUCUCUUCGCGGGUGGCAAGCGGGUGCGCCCCAUGCUUGCGCUCGCCGCGUGCGAGCUAGUGGGCGGUGAUGAGGCCGCUGCCCUGCCUGUGGCCUGCGCCGUCGAGAUGGUCCAUACCAUGUCGCUCAUCCACGACGACCUCCCUUGCAUGGACGAUGACCACCUCCGGCGCGGCCGCCCCACAAACCACGUUGCCUUUGGUGUCAGCACCGCGUUGCUCGCGGGGGAUGCGCUCCUGGCGUGUGCGUUCGAGCACGUCGCCCGGGGAUGCACGGAGCACGGCGUGCCGGCCGACCGCGCACUCCGCGCUGUGGCAGAGCUCGCCAGCGCCGUGGGCACGGACGGACUCAUGACGGGGCAGGUUGUGGACCUUGCCAGCGAGGGUGCAGACGUCGACCUGGCCACGCUAGAGUACAUCCAUGUGCACAAGACGGCACGACUCCUAGAGGCCGCGGCGGUGUGCGGCGCCAUCGUCUCCGGAGGAGCCGAUGAAGAGAUUGAGGGCAUCCGGCGGUACGCGCGUUACGUCGGCCUGCUAUUCCAGGUAGUGGACGACGUGCUGGACGUGACGCGCACGUCCGGGCAGCUAGGGAAGACGGCAGGGAAGGAUAUUGCGACCGACAAGGCAACGUACCCGAAGCUGAUGGGCGUGGACGGGGCGCUCACGUACGCGGCAGAGCUUGUGGCGAGCGCCGAGGCAGAGCUAGACCGCUUUGACGGUACUUGUAAAGAGCCUCUGCGUCACCUCGCGCACUUCAUUGUGUACCGGCAGCACUGA
Molecule: ribosomal RNA, 1065 nt
Filed under: Triticum aestivum (bread wheat)
Lineage: Eukaryota; Viridiplantae; Streptophyta; Magnoliopsida; Poales; Poaceae
Description: partial small subunit ribosomal RNA
Source: RNAcentral